UGCAGUCGAACGAUGAACCGCUUUCGGGCGGGGAUUAGUGGCGAACGGGUGAGUAACACGUGGGCAAUCUGCCCUGCACUCUGGGACAAGCCCUGGAAACGGGGUCUAAUACCGGAUAUGACUGUCCAUCGCAUGGUGGAUGGUGUAAAGCUCCGGCGGUGCAGGAUGAGCCCGCGGCCUAUCAGCUUGUUGGUGAGGUAGUGGCUCACCAAGGCGACGACGGGUAGCCGGCCUGAGAGGGCGACCGGCCACACUGGGACUGAGACACGGCCCAGACUCCUACGGGAGGCAGCAGUGGGGAAUAUUGCACAAUGGGCGAAAGCCUGAUGCAGCGACGCCGCGUGAGGGAUGACGGCCUUCGGGUUGUAAACCUCUUUCAGCAGGGAAGAAGCGAAAGUGACGGUACCUGCAGAAGAAGCGCCGGCUAACUACGUGCCAGCAGCCGCGGUAAUACGUAGGGCGCAAGCGUUGUCCGGAAUUAUUGGGCGUAAAGAGCUCGUAGGCGGCUUGUCACGUCGGUUGUGAAAGCCCGGGGCUUAACCCCGGGUCUGCAGUCGAUACGGGCAGGCUAGAGUUCGGUAGGGGAGAUCGGAAUUCCUGGUGUAGCGGUGAAAUGCGCAGAUAUCAGGAGGAACACCGGUGGCGAAGGCGGAUCUCUGGGCCGAUACUGACGCUGAGGAGCGAAAGCGUGGGGAGCGAACAGGAUUAGAUACCCUGGUAGUCCACGCCGUAAACGGUGGGCACUAGGUGUGGGCAACAUUCCACGUUGUCCGUGCCGCAGCUAACGCAUUAAGU
This 795-nucleotide ribosomal RNA is filed under the name Streptomyces violascens. RNAcentral's name for it is "bacterial SSU rRNA". It matches the Rfam family "Bacterial small subunit ribosomal RNA", at positions 56 to 865 of the family's 1533-position model. Lineage: Bacteria; Bacillati; Actinomycetota; Actinomycetes; Kitasatosporales; Streptomycetaceae. The record is from RNAcentral.